Long non-coding RNA from Daphnia pulex (common water flea), 1143 nucleotides. RefSeq lists it as uncharacterized. NCBI's taxonomy places the organism in Eukaryota, Metazoa, Arthropoda, Branchiopoda, Diplostraca, Daphniidae. The transcript is spliced from 3 exons. The record is from RefSeq and is a predicted model, not a curated record.
CAGAUGGCGUUGAACCCAAACAACAACACAUAAACAAUUCAGGAUUGAGAGGAGUGGGAUCGAGACGAGAUCUGAUGCCACAAUAUUACUUGUUAUUUAGUUUUCUUGCCUAUUUGAAUUCGACGAAUAAAUCGAGAAAAUGAGGCUUACAAAGACCAAGAACUGAGGAAUCGAGAUAGAAGACGUUGGCAAACUGUGCCGGCGGAAUCUUCGACUCAGUAUGCGUACCAAUGAUUUACCUGGUUGAAGUUUUGAUUGUUAUGUGGUAUUCUUAUCGUUGUUAUGGCCCCUGUUAUUAGUAAAAGAGUUGGAUUGAUGAGAUAUGGUGUCAUGCUUUUUAGCUUAGCCUAUCUAUGUCUUUCAAUUGCCACAGCCAUCUAUAUAUUGGUGUUGCAGAGGAGCUUCACAGUAACUACCAUAGCCAUCUACUGUUAUGUCCAAGUUUGUGCUAACUGGCGAGCAAUGUUUGUCAACUCUAAUAAGGACUAUGGAGUACAAUUAGAAGAAGGUUUGGAGCAAGAUCCCCAGAAUUUUUGUCCAGAGUGCAAUAUCUUCAAGAACAAGAAAUCCCAUCAUUGCCCUUUGUGUGAAUGCUGUGUUUUGCGGCACGACCACCAUUGUUUCUUUUUAGGUACCUGCAUCGGUUUGAAUAACCAGCGUUAUUUUGUGAUUUUGUGUCUAUAUACUGGUGUCGGUUCCCUCUACCUCUCCCUUCAAAUCUUUCUCACUUCUGAUUGGGUUUUUAAUCGUUGGUUCAAUUACUUGGAGCUGUUCAUGCCGUUCGGUUACGCUUUUUCGCUAGCCAGAACCACAACUCUGACGAGCGCAUACAUGGUGAUUGUGUACAAUCUGUCGGCGACGAUCGGAAUGUUUUGCAUCUACAUGUUUGGACUUCAAGUUCAUCUUUUGUCACAAAGCGUCACUUGGCACGAAUUUAACUCGAAAACGCACGUUUCCAAAAGUCAACAAAUCCUAACUGCAUGGUCCAACUUUUCGACCAAUUUCGGCCAUGGUCUUUUUCACUUUGUAAUUCCUGUAGUGUCUGGAUUGCUGCCCUAUAGCAAGAGCAAAUGCUCUCGCGUCAAAUCUGAUUUAAGAAUUUAUUAAAACGCAGCAAAUAAAACGAACAAGUUUAAUAAUCGA